This 246-nucleotide long non-coding RNA is filed under the name Hordeum vulgare. Its description in RNAcentral is "long non-coding RNA (HVUL_LNC010495)". The record is from RNAcentral. Lineage: Eukaryota; Viridiplantae; Streptophyta; Magnoliopsida; Poales; Poaceae.
AACGAGUAGCGAUUAACUGGCAAGUUAACUAAUUAAUCGGGCGAAUUCUUGAACAGUGCUUUUCGCUGCUAUGCUCUUAGAUGUGCAUGUGUAGGAUGAACUUGACUAGUCAUAAUUGCUAAAACUGGUCCACAACUAAAUUUGGAAAAAGGCUAAGUUCUACGUAGUCUAAUCACUCCUUCCCUCUUAACAUACUUUCGAUCCUACAAGGAGGGAAGGGUUUCUCCCUGUACGGUCGGAGAAGGG